AAGUCGCGCCGCAAUAAAUCCGCAGAAAUAUCCAAGUCGGUCCGCGAGCGAGCGCGCGUCCCCGUCGUCGUGAGCCUCGCGCGAGCACGCACGCGUGCGAUACCGAUCGUCGAAAGGGAGAAAACGACGGUCCGGAGAGGGAGCCCGCAAAGAGAUAAGGAGGGAGAAGAGAGAGAAAGAGAGAGAAAAUAGAGCGACGAGAGACAAAGGGAGAGAGGGAGGAGGAGAAGGAGAGAUCGCGCGGUGAUAAAGAUCGAAAGAUACAUAGACGAUUUCAGUGACGCGCUCCCGCGCAACAGGAGGAGCUCCCGCUCUUCUCUCUCUCUCGUCCGUUCGCGAUCGAAAGCUCGCGGUGCCACAAGGAAAAGGGCCGAAAGAAGGGACCACCUGAUCAGCCGACUCGCACAUCCGCUCCCGGAUACUCUUCUAUCUCUUAAAAGUGGCAUGCAGUGUGUGCGUGUGUGUGAGAGAGUGCGUCUCCGCGAAUUAUCGCGAGUACCGGUCGUCGCGCCAGCACGCACGUAUACGCACGUGCGAGUCAUCGGUAUCGUUCGGGACACCCGGUAAGUCCCUUCUCUCCUCGCGACGAUCCUGGUGGGGAGAUACGUUUCAUAGAUUCAGUGAGAAAAUCGAAUUUUCGGAAGGGUUUCGGUGAGAGAAAGGGAGGGAGUCGAAGGGAGAGAGAGAGAGAGAGAGAGAGACCAAGCAUUGUCCGAGGAGAGAUUGAUUUCUUGCCCACGAAGAAUCCGUUCGAAUCGAGAGGCGUUUCGGUCGAUGAUCGAUCGCCGAGUCGCCGAGUCGCCGCGUCGAGUCCGGAGGACCGCAGGAAUAUACAUGCCGGGACUUUGGUACGCCGAACGGUGUUGUAACGGGUGUACCGAGAGCUGGACACGAGAGAACGAGAACGAGAACGAGACGACUCGCAUGCGCCGAGGCCUCCGAUAAUCCGCAUCCGGUUGGCAUUGCGACGAAUCGCCGACGCGCCGCAAUUGCGUCGUCCCGCUUAUCCAAUUCUUCCAAGACGGGAGCGAUGCGCGAAUAGAGAAUCGACGAUCCGCCGCGUCCGGAGCAAAAGCGGCGAACGUCGAUCUGUUAAUUGGAUCUCUUUGUGGCUCGACGGAGGCAGAGAGAGAGAGAGAGAGAGAGAGAGAGAACCGCGAUAAAAGAGGACGAAUUCACACGGAGAAAGAUCGGGUGGCAUCCGAUGCGAGGGUGACCAGCACAGAGAGACGGAAAAGGAUCGUUAGAGAGUCCUCGGAAAACUCGCCCGACAGUCCCGGGUGCGCGUCUGUAGUCGGCACGGACACUCGCCGAUUUGCGCUCGAUCGCGAUUCGCGCGCGAAUCCGCCCGCGGAGAGGAAACACGCACGCGCGUCCGCGCGCGUGCGCGCGCGCGCGAGACAAGGCUCCUCGAUCGAUCGUGAGAGUGAUCGCGAUGCACAAGUCGAUCGGUACACGGUGAGACGUGGAAAUCUAAACGAUCGAGGAGAAAAGUGGGUGACGCGCGAAAAGAAAAGACGCGUGAAACACCGCGUCGAAUGAACUGGAAAAACAAGCUGCGAAUAGAAAAGAAUGCCGAGGAGGAAAAGGACGACGACGACGACGACGGCAACAACGACGAGGAUGAUGAUUACGAUGGUUACGAGGGAGACCUGAACGGUGGACUUGUGGAAGUUCGACUAUCGUUUCUGUGAAGCUUCGAGCGGGAGACGCGUUGCAGCGAGAGAUUCCCGCGCAGGAGAGGAAGACUGGACAAAGCGGAAGAAGCAGAAUAAGACGAGCAAAGCA
Monomorium pharaonis (pharaoh ant) is the source of this 1788-nucleotide RNA transcript. RefSeq lists it as uncharacterized. The record is from RefSeq and is a predicted model, not a curated record. The transcript is spliced from 2 exons. NCBI's taxonomy places the organism in Eukaryota, Metazoa, Arthropoda, Insecta, Hymenoptera, Formicidae.